UAUUGUUGUUCCAAUAGGGUCGGAAGCGUGUAAAUUAUUGUACUAAAAAAUCACACAAAGUUCAAUUCCCAGGGAAGAGAGGUGGAUCACAUGGAUCUCUUAAAUACCAAGUCUUUCCUUAGACAGAAUAUCCCUUCUAUAGUAAUUUAAUAGCACAAUUAAAUACUACUAUUAUACCCUCAAAUAUUGAAAGAAAAAUAGGACAAGAAAGAACACAAGAGUUUUAACGAGGUUCGGUAAAUUAUACCUACGUCCUCGGGCUACUAAAACCAGAUGAUAACUUUACUAUCUCCAAAAUAUUACAAACAAAUAGAAUUCCUUAAGAAUUCUCAAAUGGGAGAAAAAGAAAACUAAGAGAGAAAGAUUGGUUGGGAUGAAUUGAAAUGAGAAAUGAGAAGGCCUAUUUAUAGUUGAGGUUUAAGGACCAAACAAUAAAUAGCCCAUUAUCUCAAGGACCAAAAAAAAUUAUCCCAUGCCACUUUUAUAAAGUCAACUUUAGGGUGCUAAACUUGCACCACUUGGAUUGUUUUCCAUUAAAAUUGUCUGCCAUUAAUCAUAAUGUUAACAAUCUCCACCUUGAAGAUUUGAUUAGGAUAAUCACAUCUUCACACACUUCCUUCAACUCCCCAAAUUCGAUAAAGCUAUCUUUUGUAGUGCCUCUAAAUGCGCUCUCGAGCGCCAUACACCUAAAGGUGCUCAAAUUCUCAGGAUGUUAAUCAAGUUCAAACAAUGAUUAAACUUGAUUGUUGUUACCACCUUGGUCAUCAUAUCUGCGGGAUUAUCUGCUGUCGGAAUCUUCUGAAGUAGAAUUUUUCCUUUUUCAAAGACUUCUCGCACAAAGUGAUAUCUUACGUCGAUAUGCUUGGUUCUUGAAUGAUAGACUUGAUUUUUCGCUAAAUGAAUAGCGCUCUGACUGUCACAAUAUAAACUUAUGUGACUUUGAACAACUCCUAAGUCUUUCAACAAUCCAUUAAGCCAAAUAGCCUCCUUAACAGCUUCUGUAACUGCCAUAUAUUCUGCCUCUGUAGUAGACACAGCUACUGUAGACUGUAAGGUAGACUUCCAACUCACUGGGGCUUUCGCAAGAGUAAACAGAUACCCCGUAGUUGAACGACGUUUAUCUAAAUCACCAGCAAAGUCGGAAUCAACAUAUCCAACUACAAACUGACCAAGUGCUUCAUCCUGUUCAAAAAUUAAACCAACAUCUACGGUUUUUCGAAGAUACCGUAGAAUCCAUUUCACAGCUUGCCAAUGUCCUUUUCCAGGAUCAUGCAUAUACCUGCUCACAACUCCAACAGCUUGUGAAAUGUCAGGCCUCGUACACACCAUCGCAUACAUCAAACUCCCAACUGCAUUAGCAUAUGGGACUUUCGCCAUAUAUUCUCUUUCAUCUUCAGUCUUCGGAGAUAAUUGAGCACUAAGUUUCAAAUGAGAAGCAAGUGGGGUACUUACAUGUUUUGUGUUUUCAUUUACACCAAAACAUUGUAAUACCUUUUUCAGAUAUUGCUUCUGAUUCAAACAAAGCUUGCCUCUCGGUCUAUCUCUACUUAUCUCCAUGCCGAGAAUCUUCUUGGCCUCACCUAGAUCUUUCAUCUCGAACUCUUGAUUCAACUGAGCCUUCAGCUUAUCUAUCUCAUUUUGGCUCUUCGAAGCGAUUAACAUAUCAUCAACAUACAAGAGUAGAUAAAUGAAAGAUCCGUCAUGCAGCUUCUGCAAAUAUACACAAUUGUCAUAUUUGCUUCUUAUGUACUUCUGCCUUCUCAUAAAGCUAUCAAAUCGCUUGUACCACUGCCUCGGGGAUUGCUUCAAUCCAUAUAGCGAUUUGUUCAGCUUACAAACCCAAUUUCUACCACCAGUAUCUGUGUAUCCUUCGGGCUGAGUCAUAUAGAUCUCCUCUUCUAACUCACAAUGCAAGAAAGCCGUCUUAACAUCAAGUUGAGCUAGCUCCAAAUUCAACUGUGCUACCAAGGCCAACAAAAUUCUAAUGGAGGAAUGCUUCACAACAGGGGAAAAUACAUCAUUGUAGUCAAUUCCCUCCUUCUGAGCGUAGCCUUUAGCUACCAAUCUUGCCUUGUAGCGAAUAUCCUUCUUGCUAGGAGAUCCAUCUUUCUUUGCGAAUACCCACUUGCAUCCGAUUGCCCUUUUACCUUUUCGGUAAUUGCACCAACUCCCAAGUAUUGUUCUUCCGGAGAGACUGCAUUUCUUCAUCCAUGGCGCUUUUCCAUUUAUCACUUUCUAAGCUUUGCAUUGCUUCUUGAUAAGUGAUAGGAAUAUCAUCAACAACGGGAAGGGCGUAGGCCACCAUAUCAGUAAAUCGAGCAGGUUUACGAAUUUCUCUCCGUGGCCUUGCAACUGCAACUGGUUCUGGUGUACUUAGUGGUUCUUGGGUCAGAACCUCUUCAACCUCUAAUUCCUCCAUUGUGGCUGGAGAAUUAGACUUAUUAACUGGGCAAAUCCCCAUCUGCUCAAACUCCACCUGUUUUGGAGUACACUCCACCUGCUGUGGAGUAUUGCUCGUCUGAAUAUCUUUAUCUGCUACCUUUUUCAAUGUGGCAGAUUCAUCAAAGGUAACAUCUCUGCUACAGAUCAUUUUCUUUGUGCUUAAGCACCAAAGACGAAAUCCCUUCACUCCAGAAGUGAUUCCCAUAAAGAGAGCUUUCUUUGCCCUCGGAUCUAACUUUGACUCCUUCACAUGGUAAUAUGCAGUGGAUUCAAACACAUGUAAGGAAUCAUAAUCUGUAGCCGGUUUUCCAGACCAUACCUCCAUAGGAGUUUUUCUUUCUAAUGCAGAUGAUGGCAAACGAUUAACAAGAUGGCCAGCGUAUGUCACAGCCUCAGCCCAAAAUUGCUUGCCCAACCCAGCAUUGGACAACAUACAUCGAACUUUCUCCAGCAAUGUUCGAUUCAUACGCUCUGCCAAUCCAUUCUGCUGUGGUGUAUCCCUAACUGUGAAGUGUCGAACAAUACAAUACUCUUGGCACACAUCGAAGAACGGAUCACUUUUAUAUUCCCCUCCAUUGUCCGUCCUAAGCCGCUUGAUUUUCUUGCCAGUCUGGUUUUCGAUCAUAGUUUUCCAUUUAAGAAAAACUCUAAGCACUUCAUCCUUAGUUCUCAUGGUAUACACCCAAACUCUUCUGGAAAAGUCAUCAACAAAAGUAACAAAGUAGUGUUUUCCUCCCAAUGAAGGUGUCUUGGAAGGCCCCCACACAUCUGAGUGAACAUAUUCCAAAAUACCUUUUGUAUUAUGGAUAGCAGUACCGAAUUUCACUCUCUUUUGCUUUCCCAGAACACAAUGCUUGCAAAAUUUUAAUUUGCAAGCCUUUGCACCUUUCAACAAUCCUUGCUUUGUCAGAAUUUGCAAGGAUUUUUCGCUGGCAUGUUCCAACUUCAUAUGCCACAACUGUAUUGAGUCCAAUUCUUUGUUGCCGGAAGCUGCAGCGACUGCUCCAAUAACUGUACUACCUUGGUAGUAAUACAAGUUAUUUUUCCUGAUGCCCUUCAAUAUCACAAGUGCGCCAGAUGUCACUUUCAAAACCCCAUCUCUCAUAGUAACAACUGAACCAUUGGAUUCCAAGGCUCCCAAUGAGAUGAGAUUUUUCUUCAAACUGGGCACGUACCGAACAUCAGUCAGAACUCUAGUUGAUCCAUCUUUAUUCUUUAAUUGGAUUGAACCUAUCCCAACAGUUUUACAGGCAUUGUCAUUGCCCAUAUAAAUAACUCCUCCAUUUAGUUCUACUAAAUCAGAGAACCACUCCCGGUUAGGGGACAUAUGAUAGGUACAACCCGAAUCCAAUAUCCACUCAUCUGAAUGGAACGACGAUGAUGAUGCAACCAGUGAUAGUUCAGAGUCACUAGUAUCAUGCUUAGCAACACAAGCAUCUACAGCAGCUUUUCCCUUAUUCUUCAGCUUUGGACAAUUUUUCUUCCAGUGGCCUUUCUCAUGACAAAAAGCACAUUCAUCUUUCCCGAGUUUGGACUUUGACUUUGAUCUCCCCUUUUGAGUUUUCUUCCGAGUGUAUGAACGACCUCGGACUACUAAAGCUUCUGUAUCUCUGAUUGAGUUUUUCUGUUUGUCCUUCUUUCUCUGUUCAUAACUGUAUAAGGCCGCACAGACUUCGCUCGGAGAUAUAUCACUCCUGCCAUGAAGUAGAGUAGUUUCUAGGAACUCAAACUCCUCAGGAAGUGACCCCAACAGCAUCAAAGCCAAAUCUUCAUCUUUGAAUGUCUCAUCCAUAUUCAGCAAAUCAGUGACUAACUGAUUAAAUUUGGUGAUGUGAUCAUUCAUUGUGGUACUUGGGACGUAUGUGAAGCGAAACAGUCUUUUCUUCAAGUGGAGCUUAUUUUGACUGUUUUUCUUCAAAAAAUUUUCUUCAAGUGCCACCCAUAACUUAUUUGCAGAAGUCUCCUUUGAAAAAGCAUACCUCUGCUCUCGAGAAAGGCAUGAUCGAAUUGUGCCACAUGCCAACCGAUUGAUCGCCUUCCAAUCUUUCUCCUGUACAUCAUCUGGUUUCUCUUCAUCAAUGGCAAUGUCUAGACCCUGCUGAAAAAGGGCAUCUAGAACCUCACUUUGCCACAUACCAAAAUGGCCCGUGCCAUCAAAGAUCUCCACGGCCAGUCUUGCAUUUGCAAUUGUCGGUCUUGUCCACAUGGACGAUGUUGAAGCUCCUACACCGACCGUUUUCUCCAUAAUCUUUCAAUAUACCUAAGGAAAUCUUUUCUGAUGUGGAAGAUCAGUUCAAACUGCAACCACAGAGCAUACUACGAUUAACCUUCGGCUCUUGAUACCACUUGUUGUUCCAAUAGGGUCGGAAGCGUGUAAAUUAUUGUACUAAAAAAUCACACAAAGUUCAAUUCCCAGGGAAGAGAGGUGGAUCACAUGGAUCUCUUAAAUACCAAGUCUUUCCUUAGACAGAAUAUCUCUUCUAUAGUAAUUUAAUAGCACAAUUAAAUACUACUAUUAUACCCUCAAAUAUUGAAAGAAAAAUAGGACAAGAAAGAACACAAGAGUUUUAACGAGGUUCGGUAAAUUAUACCUACGUCCUCGGGCUACUAAAACCAGAUGAUAACUUUACUAUCUCCAAAAUAUUACAAACAAAUAGAA
RNAcentral lists this long non-coding RNA (5101 nucleotides) under Gossypium barbadense (sea-island cotton). RNAcentral's name for it is "long non-coding RNA (GBAR_LNC013060)". The record is from RNAcentral. Lineage: Eukaryota; Viridiplantae; Streptophyta; Magnoliopsida; Malvales; Malvaceae.